This is a long non-coding RNA of Bombina bombina (fire-bellied toad), 269 nucleotides long. RefSeq lists it as uncharacterized. NCBI's taxonomy places the organism in Eukaryota, Metazoa, Chordata, Amphibia, Anura, Bombinatoridae. The record is from RefSeq and is a predicted model, not a curated record. The transcript is spliced from 2 exons.
CUCUCGGCUGCACAGCGGAUGAAACAAACCAGCUUCAGGUCCCUUUUCAAUGUAUUGGCAUAAUGAGGUUGAUCCCAAUCUAUUAGUGAUUUCCUCCCAACUUGAAAUGGUCAUCACAAUGCAAAAUGGAUCCUUUGGCUUAGCACUGGAACGUUACCUGACGAAUUUCACUGAAGCCUAUUAUAUGACGGCAUUAAUGCCCUGUACUAUCUGACAUACAAAUGUUAGCACGCACUAGAGUAAAACUCGAAACUUCUGUAUUCUUAGAA